Solanum verrucosum is the source of this 1413-nucleotide RNA transcript. RefSeq lists it as uncharacterized. The record is from RefSeq and is a predicted model, not a curated record. The transcript has 5 exons. Lineage: Eukaryota; Viridiplantae; Streptophyta; Magnoliopsida; Solanales; Solanaceae.
AAAAAAAUCUGAGUUUCUCCGUACAGCUCCCAUUCGUCUCAACCCGUCAUGAUCAUCACUCGCCGGAAAACCUUACAACCAUCUGCAUAAGAAAUUUGCAGGAUUUUCAUGUAGCUAUUCUGGUAAUUUAUUGAAUUAUAUAUAUACAGAUUUGGGGGGGAGCGAUGGGAGCUGUAACGUCGUCUAUGGCGGCAAAGUUUGCAUUUUUUCCGCCUAAUCCGCCGUCGUAUGGGGUGGUGGUGGAAGAAUCGACCGGAAAACUUAAGAUGACAGAGGUGGUUCAAGGGGAAGACGUUGACAUUUUGAAGCUAGAGACGAAGAAGGGGACGGAGAUUAUUGCUAUGUACGUGAGGAAUCCGGCCGCGAAGUUGACCGUGCUUUACUCACAUGGAAACGCUGCUGAUUUAGGGCAGAUGUACGAUUUGUUUACAGAACUCAGUCUCCAUCUCCGGGUCAAUUUGAUGGGGUAUGACUAUUCAGGGUAUGGCCAGUCCACUGGCAAGCCAAGUGAGCAGAACACUUACGCCGAUAUAGAAGCUGCAUAUCAGUGUCUUGAAGAGACAUAUGGGGUGAAAGAGGAGGAUAUAAUAUUAUAUGGACAGUCUGUUGGUAGUGGACCAACAGUAGAUAUGGGAUCCCGCUUAUCAAGAUUGAGGGGACUGGUUCUGCACAGCCCGAUACUCUCUGGAGUUCGUGUCUUGCAUCCAGUUAAGCGGACAUACUGGUUUGACAUAUUUAAGAACAUUGACAAGAUACCAUUGGUUGAAUGUCCGGUCCUCAUUAUUCAUGGCACCGCAGAUGAUGUUGUGGAUUGUUCCCAUGGUAAGCAGCUGUUUGAUCUAUGUAAGCAAAAAUAUGACCCGUUGUGGGUUGAAGGAGGUAACCAUUGUGAUCUAGAGCUCUAUCCCGAGUACAUAAAACAUCUGAAGAAGUUCAUAUCAGCUAUUGAGAAAUCGACGGUUUCUCCCAAUGGAAAUGCGCAAAGUAUGGACCAAAUAGAUAAACCUUGAAAAGUCAAGAUAGCAGAUGCACAUACCAGACAGAGAAAUCUAGAUCAAGUACAGAAAAGAGAGUGAAAAGCAUACCAGCAAAACACAGAUCGAAGAGAUAUAUCACGAGAGCUAGCAUGGACAUGAAUGAAAAGUUUAGCAAGAACAUGGAUCCAGAACCACCAAAGAAAGCAAGAAACAAACAUUGAUCUGUUAUAUUAUAUUAGCUGGCUAAGAGUGUUUUGCAUCUUUUGUUUCCUUGUACUAAUUAGCAUGAUCACUGCUUUAACAAAUGAAGGAUGCUACUGGUGGCAAUUUCUUGUUGAUAUUAUGAGAUAAGCCGUAUUAUGCAAUUUCAACUGCUUUAAGAGUGUCGAAUUUUCCAGUUACCUCACUUAUGAAAAUUCGUUCUCCAGUUACCUCU